UUGUUUUCUUUCCCUUGAUAAAAUCUUCGGUUGCUUAUCUCCAAAGCUAACCGUUGCCCUUUCAAGAAGAGGUGAGAAAGAGAGCGCCAAACAAAUGGCUCCGAAGAACUUGUCGUUCAAGAUAAUCUUGGGUUCGUCCUCAAUGGCACGUCGCAAAAUUCUAGCGGACAUGGGUUAUGAAUUUACAGUUAUGGGUGCCGACAUUGAUGAAAAGAGGAUUAGGAAGGACAAUGCAGAGGAAUUAGUGGUAGCUCUAGCAGAGGCAAAGGCAGAUGCUAUCAUGUCAAGGCUCAAAACAACUGAUCAUUUGGAGGAAAAUACCCAUUCCACUCUGUUAAUUACUGCAGAUACAAUCUUUUUGGCUAUAUCUUACCUACAUCUAUUGGUAUCAAGGUGGCUGUGUACGAUGGAAUUAUUAGAGAAAAGCCAUCAAGUAAGGAAGAAGCGCGUCAGUUCAUCAAAUGUAUGUUUGUAUUUGCGGUCUGCAGUUCCUCCAGUAUCUCAGCUAAGCAGGUUAUUCUUUUUAUUUUCUACCAAUAUUACUGUUCUUGUUAUUAUGAAUUGCAGGUUAUUCUGGUGGUCAAGCCACGGUUGUAGGAUCUGUCGUUGUGACCAACCUUACAAAGGGUAUAAGAAAAGGAGCUUGGGAAAGGUCAGAGGUAUAUUUCCAUGACAUACCUGAUGAGAUCAUUGACAGCCUGAUUGAGGAGGGAAUAGUACUUAAUGUUGCUGGUGGCUUAAUGCUUGAACAUCCAUUGACGUUGCCCUUCGUUGACACUCUGAUUGGAACUGCUGACAGUGUCAUGGGACUCCCAAGAAGUCUCACUGAAAAACUUAUCGAAGAAACACUCUAGCUGCUGGAAUUCCACAAAUGAAUAUCCUUUCAAUCACCUGUCCUGAAAUGUAGUUGAUUACUCUCACUAGAUUUUUGAGUUUAUAAACUUGUCUUUCUGAAGUGAACAUUUGAAACAUGCCGAAAGGAAAUUGCUGAAAGACACUCUUCUUUCAAAUAUCACUGUUGAAUUAUUUGAUUUGAUGUAAACAUCGUGAUCAGGAACGAUUUGAUACUCAUACAACUUGGAAAUUGAUUCAAUAAGGUAAAUAUUCUGCACAAGAAAACAUUUUU
Solanum stenotomum is the source of this 1126-nucleotide RNA transcript. RefSeq lists it as uncharacterized. Lineage: Eukaryota; Viridiplantae; Streptophyta; Magnoliopsida; Solanales; Solanaceae. The record is from RefSeq and is a predicted model, not a curated record. The transcript is spliced from 8 exons.